GGGCGGGUAGUUCAGCUGGCUAGAACGCUUCCCUUACAAGGAAGAGGUCAUAGGUUCGACUCCUAUCCCGCCCA
This 74-nucleotide transfer RNA is filed under the name Omnitrophica bacterium RBG_13_46_9. RNAcentral describes it as "tRNA-Val". It matches the Rfam family "tRNA". Rfam says of the family: Transfer RNA (tRNA) molecules are approximately 80 nucleotides in length. Their secondary structure includes four short double-helical elements and three loops (D, anti-codon, and T loops). Lineage: Bacteria; Pseudomonadati; Candidatus Omnitrophota. The record is from RNAcentral.